UGAGAUGAUCAUGUGGUUUUUAUUCCUCAGUUUGUUGAUGUGGUGUAUCACGUUGAUUGAUUUGCGGAUGUUGAACCAUCCCUGUGUCCCUGGUAUGAAUCCCACCUGAUCCUGAUGUAUGAUUCUUUUGAUGAAUUGCUGAAUUCUGGUUGCCAAAAUUUUGUUUAGAAUUUUUGCAUCUAUGUUCAUCAGUGAUAUUGGCCUGUAGAGGAACUUGAUUUUUCAUGACUGGAUUAUGAAAGCUCUUCCUACAAACAGUUAAUUUUUUUUUUACAUAUCUUUAAAAGAUAGGGCAGCCAUUUCCUUAGUGAGGCAUCAGUAAGCAGGGAGCAAGAGCAAUUGCUGCAGCACAAUCGGGUGCUAGCUUGAGGCAGACGGCCUGUCUUAUGCUGUGCACCGUCUCUACAGACCAGGUUUGCCGAACAUAUUUGACAGUCCACUUACAGUCAGAGAGAAAUGCAUGUGCACAGUAGUGUGACAACUUUAUAUCAUGUCAGGUACUCAGAACAUCUGUGCUAAAUUUUUUUUUUUAAGAUUUUAUUUUUUUCCUUUUUCUCCCCAAAGCUCCCCUGGUACACAGCUGUAUAUUCUUUGUUGUGGGUCCUUCUAGUUGUGGCAUGUGGGACGCUGCCUCAGCGUGGUUUGAAGAGCAGUGCCAUGUCUGCGCCCAGGAUUUGAACCAACGAAACACUGGGCCGCCUGCAGCAGAGCGCGCGAACUUAACCACUCGGCCACGGGGCCAGCCCCUGUGUUAAAUUUUUAAAUAAUUUACUCUAUUUAUUGCCAUAUUCUAGAGGACAGUUAUGAGCUUUGAAUAUUUAACCAUUUGGUUAACACAUUUAUUGUACAGAUUCUGUGCUAAAAUUACAUCAAUGGAUGAAAACUAGACACAUGGAAGCUGCCUUUAUGGUACAAACAGUCUAAUAGAGAAAAUGGACAUUAAACAUGGAAAUGUAACUCGGUAAACAGCAUUGAUUCUCUAGCUCUAUUUUUAUUUCUUGUAGCACUUAAGGGUAAUAUGGUUGAUUCAGUAUUAAUCAUUCCACAACUGAUUUCCUCUUUAGGUGUAUUUGGAUAUACUUUUGGCACUGUCUCAAAGUGCAAAGCAUGUUAUGUGCAAAAUACCUAUUUGUAGCAUGGGUGUAUUCAGAAAACAUUAAGUGCAUAAGAUCUAAAGCCUAAAAAGAAAGGUUUACUUUAUGAUUUCAAGUAUAAAAUAAGGACAGGGACCAAGUCUGUCUUGUUCACCAUAAUAUUCCCAGCUCCCAGCAUCCGACUUGACACAUAGUAAGAACUCAUUAAAUAUUAGUUGAAUGAAUGAGUAAUGAAUAGAAUAUGUUUAAUUAGGAACUAAAUAUCUAAUUUUCAUGUGGGGGUUAAACAAAAGGCUAUCCAUAGCAUUUUUUUCAUUGACUGGAAACAAUUUGAAUUCUUUAAUGCAAAACACUGUAGAAGAGAAGUCAUUUAGAUAAGUCACAUACCAUUGCCUUCUCCCCUUCCUCCUCUGUGGAGGCACUUCCCAGGUGGCAGAGCAGCCUGGGGAAGCCAAAGCCUGCAGAAUAAAAUACAUGUUUGGGUCCAGUGAGCCCCGGUUCUAGGCAUUUAAUGGGAACCCAGAAGAGAGGGGAUACCAGGUUCCCCAGCGGAGUUCCAGUAAAAGGAAUGGGUAUGAGCUCUGAGUCCAUUAAAAUACAGAACUAAGAUUUUAAAACUGAGGAAUCAUAGUUGUAGAAUAGAAUGUAAAUGUUAUAAAUCUUGACAAAGAAAAAUUAACUUAUAUUGAUCAAUUGGGACAUGGGGCAGAGACAGUUCGACAAAAACUAAGAACUAACCACCUCAUCUUUCAUGGCCAGGUGUCCUGUCAGGUUAUAUUGUCUAAGAUUGUAUUAUACAAUAUAGAAAGAAACCUAGUGACCAACCUUAAGUUUUUCACAGUCUUUUUCUUGACCUUAACACAGUGGUUCUCAAAGUGUGGUCCUCAACCAGCAACGUCAGCAUCACCUAUGAAGUUGUUAGAAAUGCAAAUUCUUGGCCCCACCCCAGACCUGCUGAAUCAGAACUUCUGGGGAUGGGCCCAGCAGUCUGUUUCAACAAACUCUCCAGAGGAUUCUCACGCAGGCUCAAGUUUGAGCAUCACUGGUUUCCUUAGCUCUUUUAGGAACAAGAGCCCUUAUGGUAGAGAAACCUUUAUCUGAAGUUCAACAGCCCCUUCAGUUUCAUUUCUAAUUUUUUUCUAUAGCAUUCAAAUUAACUCUAAAGCUUUUAAAAAUAAAAAGUAUAGCAAUUCCCACCAUCAGUCCUCUCUGUACAUAUGAAUAGACAAGUCUGGAAUGCCCACUCACUGUUAACACUGGUGAUUUUUUAAGUGGCAGGAUUAUGAGUGACUCUGUUCUUUUCUGUAUCGGUUGACUAUAAUGAACAUUGUAUCAUUUUCAUAAAAUAAAGUCAUUCUUUUAAAAAAAUGGUAAGGAUAUUCAUCCUGUCCAUUGUAGAUCGUUAUUAAAAGCCACAUAGACAGCAUUACCUCCAAGGGCUGACUCCUUCACCUUAGUCCAGAGGGGUCUUACUCCCUGCCAUUCUUCCUCCC
Molecule: long non-coding RNA, 2587 nt
Organism: Equus caballus (horse)
Lineage: Eukaryota; Metazoa; Chordata; Mammalia; Perissodactyla; Equidae
Source: Ensembl